GGUCAAGUUAUGAAAGAGUAUAUGAUGGAUGCCUUGGUGCCAGUAGGCGAAGAAGGACGUGGUAAGCUACGAUAAGCCCUGGGGAGUUGCAAACUAACAUUGAUCCAGGGAUUUCCGAAUGGGAAAACCCAUCAUAGGUAAUGCUAUGAUAUCCUUUUGGAGGCUAAACUAAGGGAAGUGAAACAUCUCAGUACCUUGGGAAAAGAAAGCAAAAGCGAUUUCCUGAGUAGCGGCGAGCGAAAUGGAAUCAGCCUAAACCUAGUGAAUGAAAUAUCCUGUGAGAGUUGUUCAAUAGGGGUUAUAGGAUUUAUUGUAAUUAAGACACAGCUUAAUUGGCAAGUUAGAAAGAUAUAUCUUAGUUGAAUAAUUCUGGAAAGAAUAACCAAAGAAGGUGAUAGUCCUGUAGUCGAAAAGAUGUAUUCUUGCUAAGUAAGUCCUGAGUAACGCGGGACACGUGGAAUCUUGUGUGAAGGUAGGAGGACCAUCUCCUAAGGCUAAAUACUAACUGGCGACCGAUAGUGAACAAGUACCGUGAGGGAAAGGUGAAAAGAACUCCUUUUAGGAGAGUGAAAUAGUACCUGAAAUCAUAUACUUACAAGCGGUAGGAGGGCUAUGUUCUUGCUUCGGCAAGAAAAUGCCUGACUGCGUGCCUUUUGUAUAAUGAACCGGCGAGUUACAUAGGUGUAGCAAGGCUAAUCCCGUAGAGUGGGAGUAACCGUAGCGAAAGCAAGUAUUAAUUGUGCGUAUAGUUACACCUAGUAGACCCGAAGCUGGGUGAUCUACCCAUGGCCAGAGUGAAGCUCCGUUAAAACGGAGUGAAGGCUCGAACUAGUUGGUGUUGAAAAACCAUUGGAUGAGCUGUGGGUAGGGGUGAAAGGCCAAUCAAACCCAGUGAUAGCUGGUUCUCCCCGAAAUAUUUUUAGGAAUAGCCUCAUAUAAAUUAGAUAAUAGAGGUAGAGCGCUGGCUGAGCUAAGAGCCUUACCAGGUUACUAAGCCCAAUCAAACUCCGAAUACUAUUGUCUGUACUAUGGGAGUCAGAAUGUGGGGGAUAAGCUCCAUAUUCAAGAGGGAAACAGCCCAGACCAUCAGUUAAGGUCCCAAAAUAUGAACUAAGUGGCUAAGGAUGUUGGAAUGCAAAGACAGCCAGGAUGUUGGCUUAGAAGCAGCCACUCAUUUAAAGAGUGCGUAACAGCUCACUGGUCAAGUGAUCUUGCGCCGAAAAUUCACGGGACUCAAGUUCAUUACCGAAACUAUGGGUUUUGUUUAAUCUUCGGAUUAAGCAGAGCGGUAGGGGAGCGUUCCAUGUUAGGUUGAAGCUCGAUCGUAAGGACGAGUCGACGAAAUGGAAGUGAUUAUGCCGGUAUGAGUAACGAUAAUAUCGAUGAGAAAGCGAUACGCCUGAAGUCCAAGGUUUCCUCCGCAAUGGUAAUCAACGGAGGGUUAGUCGGAUCCUAAGUCGAGGUUGAAAAACGUAGGCGAUGGGUGAUCUGCUAAUAUUCAGAUACUAUUUAAUCUGCGUUUGAGCAAAGGGGGGACACGGAAAGUAAAGCCAGCACACGGAUGGAAGUGUGUGUCCAAGCUUGUAGAGGGUCUCAAUAGGUAAAUCCGUUGGGACGCAACCUCAAGGAGUGUUAGGGAGUCUGAUCUACGGAGAAGGCGAACUGGCUCUAUCUAUGCCGUCAAGAAAAGCCUCUAGUGAGUAGAUUAAGUAUCCGUACCGCAAACCGACACAGGUGGACAGGGAGAGAAUCCUAAGGCGCUCGAGAGAACUUUCGUUAAGGAACUCUGCAAAUUAGCCCCGUAACUUCGGAAGAAGGGGUGUUUUUACGUGUGAGGUUUCUUGCAAACUGAGCACGUGAAAAUCACAGUAAAGGGGCCCAGGCGACUGUUUAGCAAAAACACAGGUCUCUGCUAAAUCGCAAGAUGAUGUAUAGGGACUGACACCUGCCCGGUGCCGGAAGGUUAAGAAAAGGGGUUAUUCUCCUGAUUUAUCAGGGGGAGAAGCUCUGGAUUGAAGCCCCGGUAAACGGCGGCCGUAACUAUAACGGUCCUAAGGUAGCGAAAUUCCUUGUCGGGUAAAUUCCGACCUGCACGAAUGGUGUAACGAUCUGGGCACUGUCUCAACGAGAGGCUCGGUGAAAUUGUAGUAAUGGUGAAGAUGCCAUUUUCCCGCGACAAGACGGAAAGACCCCGUGAACCUUUACUGUAGCUUGAUAUUGGGUUUUAGUAUAGUUUGUAGAGGAUAGGUGGGAGGCUAUGAUAUCUCGGCGCUAGUCGGGGUUGAGCCAACCUUGGAAUACCACCCUAAUUAUAUCAGAACUCUAACCUUGUUCUUUGAAUCAAGACAUGGGAAAGUAUCUGGUAGGCAGUUUGACUGGGGCGGUCACCUCCUAAAAAGUAACGGAGGUGCCCUAAGGUUUCCUCAAUACGGUCGGUAAUCGUAUGUAGAGUGUAAAGGCAUAAGGAAGCUUGACUGCGAGACAUACAAGUCGAGCAGGUGCGAAAGCAGGGCUUAGUGAUCCGGCGGUUCUGAGUGGAAGGGCCGUCGCUCAUCGGAUAAAAGGUACUCCGGGGAUAACAGGCUUAUCUCCCCCAAGAGUUCACAUCGACGGGGAGGUUUGGCACCUCGAUGUCGGCUCAUCGCAUCCUGGGGCUGUAGUAGGUCCCAAGGGUUCGGCUGUUCGCCGAUUAUAGCGGUACGCGAGCUGGGUUCAGAACGUCGUAAGACAGUUCGGUCCCUAUCUGUCGUGGGCGUAGGAUAUUUGAGAGGAGCUGUUCUUAGUACGAGAGGACCGGAACGGACGAACCUCCAGUGUAUCAGUUGUCACGCCAGUGGCAUAGCUGAGUAGCUGCGUUCGGAAAGGAUAAAUGCUGAAAGCAUAUAAGCAUCAAGCCUCCCUCAAGAUUUGAUAUCCCUUUCUCCGAAGAAAUUCGGGGAACUGAAGAUCUCCCGUAGACUACGGGAUUGAUAGGCUGGAAGUGUAAGUACAGUGAUGUAUUUAGCUUAUCAGUACUAAUAGAUCGUGAGACUUGACCAU
Molecule: ribosomal RNA, 3039 nt
Filed under: bacterium
Lineage: Bacteria
Description: 23S ribosomal RNA
Rfam family: Bacterial large subunit ribosomal RNA
Source: RNAcentral